Molecule: long non-coding RNA, 293 nt
Filed under: Homo sapiens (human)
Lineage: Eukaryota; Metazoa; Chordata; Mammalia; Primates; Hominidae
Description: HSALNT0277399
Source: RNAcentral
GGGUGCCGCUGGGACCGUCAUCAGGAGCCUGGGGUUCUGCCACCUUUCGGAGGGAUCAGCGACCUCUUCGCCCUGCGGGUGACAGUGGGGCAUCUGCCUGCGAGAGGGGGAAGGAGGGAGAACCCAGGGCCACACACAAAGUUCUCCUCAUCUGGGGACAGGAGGAGGUGAAGGAGGAGGAGCCGGGUUGAUGCUAACUUGGAGCUGCGAAACCUUGGGGCGGCGUUCAAGGCCCCCUCCCACACGCGCGCAGAGCAGAGCGCCCUGCUCCUCCUUCAGCUGCUGGCGUCGCC